AGCCCGGUAGUGUAGCGGUCAAGCAUAUGGGCCUUUGAAGCCCGUGACGCCAGUUCGAGUCUGGCCCGGGCUAC
This 74-nucleotide transfer RNA is filed under the name Candidatus Nitrosopumilus sp. RNAcentral's name for it is "Nitrosopumilus sp. tRNA-Gln". It matches the Rfam family "tRNA". From Rfam's summary of the family: Transfer RNA (tRNA) molecules are approximately 80 nucleotides in length. Lineage: Archaea; Thermoproteati; Nitrososphaerota; Nitrososphaeria; Nitrosopumilales; Nitrosopumilaceae. The record is from RNAcentral.